This 208-nucleotide long non-coding RNA is filed under the name Elaeis guineensis (African oil palm). Its description in RNAcentral is "long non-coding RNA (EGUI_LNC052679)". Lineage: Eukaryota; Viridiplantae; Streptophyta; Magnoliopsida; Arecales; Arecaceae. The record is from RNAcentral.
GAGCCGACUUCGUCUGAUGAGCUCCUUGAUUUCAUCUCGAAGCUGAAUACACUCCUUCAUGUCGUGGCUGUGGUCACGAUGAUAGAGGCAGAACUUAUUAGGAUUGCGCUUCUCAAGGUGUGUGCACAUCCUUUUUGGCCUUGACAGCUGCUCCCUGACCUCCAUCAGCACUUGGGCUUUUGGAGCAUUGAGAGGGGCGUAGCUAUGG